This 501-nucleotide ribosomal RNA is filed under the name uncultured bacterium. RNAcentral describes it as "partial 16S ribosomal RNA". It matches the Rfam family "Bacterial small subunit ribosomal RNA", at positions 30 to 523 of the family's 1533-position model. The record is from RNAcentral.
AUUGAACGCUGGCGGCAGGCUUAACACAUGCAAGUCGAGCGGAGCGAGGGUGCUUGCACCUUAGCUUAGCGGCGGACGGGUGAGUAAUGCUUAGGAAUCUGCCUAUUAGUGGGGGACAACAUUCCGAAAGGAAUGCUAAUACCGCAUACGCCCUACGGGGGAAAGCAGGGGAUCUUCGGACCUUGCGCUAAUAGAUGAGCCUAAGUCGGAUUAGCUAGUUGGUGGGGUAAAGGCCUACCAAGGCGACGAUCUGUAGCGGGUCUGAGAGGAUGAUGCGCCACACUGGGACUGAGACACGGCCCAGACUCCUACGGGAGGCAGCAGUGGGGAAUAUUGGACAAUGGGCGGAAGCCUGAUCCAGCCAUGCCGCGUGUGCGAAGAAGGCCUUUUGGUUGUAAAGCACUUUAAGCGAGGAGGAGGCUACUGAGAUUAAUACUCUGGGAUAGUGGACGUUACUCGCAGAAUAAGCACUGGCUAACUCUGUGCCAGCAGCCGCCGUAA